GAUGAAGAACGCAGCGAAAUGCGAUACUUGGUGUGAAUUGCAGAAUCCCGUGAACCAUCGAGUCUUUGAACGCAAGUUGCGCCCGAAGCCGUCAGGCCGAGGGCACGCCUGCCUGGGCGUCACACGCCGUUGCCCCCCCGCGCCCCGCACCCAACUCUUUGGGAGCGACCGCGGGGCGGGCUGAUGAUGGCCUCCCGUGCGCUCCGCCGCGCGGUUGGCCCAAAUACCGAGUCCCCGGCGACGUGCGCCACGACGAUCGGUGGUUGAGAGACCUCUGUCGCAAGUCGUGCGCGCCCGUCGCGUCACGCGGGCUCGCAUAGCGCCUCGCGCCGCACCCGGUGCGGAGCUUUCAACGCGACCCCAGGUCAGGCGGGGUUACCCGCUGAAUUUAAGCAUAUCAAUAACGGAGGA
RNAcentral lists this unclassified non-coding RNA (411 nucleotides) under soil metagenome. Its description in RNAcentral is "partial contains 5.8S ribosomal RNA, internal transcribed spacer 2, and large subunit ribosomal RNA". The stretch from base 1 to 122 matches the Rfam family "5.8S ribosomal RNA", at positions 35 to 154 of the family's 154-position model. The record is from RNAcentral.